This 19701-nucleotide long non-coding RNA is filed under the name Ananas comosus (pineapple). RNAcentral describes it as "long non-coding RNA (ACOM_LNC030076)". Lineage: Eukaryota; Viridiplantae; Streptophyta; Magnoliopsida; Poales; Bromeliaceae. The record is from RNAcentral.
UAUUUUUAAAACUUGUAUUCUCAUAUUUUGCGUGAUUUUGCUGAACAAAAUUUUAUUUACAAUAUACUGUGAGUAGCAUCAUUCCUGUCGAUGUCCUUUUCAGGCAAGAAGCAUGCUUAGGGCAGUUGUAUCAAUUUCAUAAGUUUCAUUAGAUUGAGUUGUGAAUUGAGUAGCUUUUACAUCAUUUUGCAUGAAUCUUUUUUUUUCUUUUUUUUUUUUGAAGUGUUUGGAAACGAAACUCUGGUCUGAAUUCAAUACUAGGGAUGACACCUUACUUAUCUGUCGUUUUUUUGAACCUUUGGAUGUUUGAACCACCGAAAGGUUGUUGAUGGUGGCUAUGUUAUUUCCGUAUGAUAUCCUUUUACGACAUGUUUGGUACGCGACUGGAAUUAUAAUCCGAAACAGGGUUGGAAUGGGUUGGAACCAACAUGGGAAUGACCAAUUCGAUUAGUUUUUUUUCGAAUGGAAUGAAUAACUACCAUUUUGCCUUCGAACGAGAUUAGACUUUGGGAUUAUAGGGCAGAGUUAAAACCGGUGGGUUAGAUGAGUCCCAUUCAGCAUCAGAGUGGGAGUUGGAAUGUGAUUCCCUCGAUCAAACGGUCGUCAUAGGAGAAUGAUCAUGUCCGGUUCCCCAACUGAAGUGCAAAAUUUCCGCAACCGCGCAUGCCCUUAGAAUACAUGAUUAAAAAUUAUCAGUGCUUUCACUGUUCUGUGAGGAGUUUUUGGGCUAUUAUUAAGCCUACAAAACCUUUUACAUAGAAAAAUAGGCAUCCAAAAUUUAAUAUUCACCGUUUUUACUCUAAUUUAUAUAUUUUCUAUAUCCAAAUUUUAAAACAUGUAUAGUAUUAAACACUAAAAGUAGCUUUAAUCCUUUGAAGAAAGUAUUUAGAAAGCGGUAAUUCAUUCACCGUAUAGAUUUAGUUUUGUAAAUAAACGUUUUGGAGGACUUUUUUUAUAAUUAUAGUAUUUUCUAAGUCUUUUAAGUAAAAAAAUUUCAUUGUGUGAUCUUGCAGAAAAGAAGAUUGAUGAGUUGCCGGAGAAGAAGACGCCGUGUUCUUGUUCCAUACUAUGAAGGGCACGACACCCCCGCCUCUUUUUCUCUUCGCCUCUAUUGCGAGCUCACGCCCGCUGUCCUAUAUAGUCUCUCAAUGUGUUGUCAAAAUGUAGCGAAAAAUUAGGGGGAAAAAAAGGAAAAAAAGGAGAAUAGAAUCACGACCACGAUUAAUGGAAUUGCUGGUUCAAAAAGGGGGUUGUUAUCUGUGUUGUAUUGUUUUGUACGUGUAUUAUUGUUUGUUGUUUGUUGUUGUUAUUGUUGUUAAUGAGAGAAGCAAGAGGAGAGCAUGUCGUCGGCUAUACACACGCAUAAUCUCUGCUCUUUAUUUAGCUGCGUUUAGGAGUGGCAAUCCAGCUCGUGUUCGGCUUGAAAUGAGUUCGAGAUUGAAUCGCUGAAUUUUUCAGCUCGUUAAAUAAACGAGCCGAACAUAAGUUGGGGUCAGCUCGCUCGUGUUCGGCUUGAUAACAGUUCGAAUAUAUAUAUUUUAUAUUUAUAUAAUUUAUUUAAUAUAUAUUUAUAUAUAUAUAUAUAUAUAAAUAAUUAUAUAUAUAAUAUAUAUUUUUAUUAUUUCGUCUUUAGCAAAAUUAAAAUAUAAAGUCGAGCCCAAUUAUAAAAAAAUUUAUUUAUAUUUAAAAUUUUAAUCAUUUGAUCAAAGUCUAAUGAAUAACAUUAUAUAAAUUUAAUUUUUAUAUGUAUCUAAUCUAAUUCUUUUAACUUAUUGUUCGUUGGAGCUGGCCCCAGCUCGCUCGUGUUCGGCUCGUUGACACCCCUAGCUCCGUUGCCACUGAGACCCCUGAACUUUUAAAUUCAAACAUUUUAGUCCUUAAAAAAUUUUUCCUCGGCUAUACACGCACAAAAAAUUGAUGACAGUUUGAGUUAAUUUCGUAGGGAUAAACCACCAGGAGACCUUCGGUUAGAGUACUAGAGACUCGUAAAACAAAAGCAUCAUUCACUUUUUUUAAAAAAAAUAUUGGUACCUAUAGAUACUCGCAGAUUGUCCAAAAUAUCCAUAAUUUAAUAUGUAAUCAUCCGUUUUACUCAUGAUUUUUUAGAUAAAAAAAAAAACUAAUACCCAUACAUGCAAACCUGCGAGUAAUUCAUAGGUACAGGUAGAGGUUGCCAAGUCCGAACACAGCAUAAAAAUCCAGCAACCCAACCGAAACAGAAUGAAGUUGAGCGACCAGUUACAUAAUCGGUCCGAGAAGACUCACUAAAAUGAGGCCUCAGUGGUGAUCAAGCCACUUUGUGGGAGAGCCAAUAUCCCCGCGCGGCGCGGUCCAUCGAGGAAAGCGAGAAGUGCACCUUAUAACAACGAAAACAUGUGUAAUAUACUUGCAUGUACAGCACUUGUUGUGCGACUCGGGUUCAUCAGCAACUGUACAAACUAACAAUCAGAUUCAUCACUAAAGAGGAAAAAACUAACGAAGAAAGAAAAAAGAUCCACCCCCCUCAGACCGCAGUAGUAGAUGUACUUCCUCGACAGGCACGGCAAAACGCUUCAAACACAGCAAAAGCAAGUCGAAGAUAAUGAUCAUAUCAAGUUCCGGUGUAAUCCUCGGCUCCUACCAAGAGUGCUAUGCAUGUAGUGAAAAUGGUGGGUUAGUGUUAGCAAAGAGUCAGUGAUGAUGGUUCUCUCUUGGUAGGCGUUUGUUUCUUCAUGGAGGGGGAUCUGGAAUCACUACAAAGCCCUACAUCGUAAAAUCCGUUUCAAAACAGGCGCAAUGAAAUGCAAUCACCUUCAGGUCUUUGUGCCGGCGUUUCAUUGCUUGGGCUUCUUCCGACAAGCACUCAACUUGUCCAUCAGAUCUUGUAUUGUAGCGGAAGCUUCCUUCAAAAGCAGAGAGAGAGAGAGAGAGAGAGAAGAGGAUGAAACCAAAUGGUAGAGGGGAUCUAAUAAUAUAACUGAAGUACUUGUUCGGGAAAAAAAAAACAAAGUAGAGAGCAGUGUUUUUCUACCUUUAGCUUCUUCCUCAAAUUCUCCUCCUCUUUGUCACGACGGGUCCUUUCUUCCGAAAAGAUGUCGAUUAGAGCUUCUUGCUCGCUGCUUGCGUGCUCCAGUUUUCUAUUUGCAUCUUCCAGCUGGGAGAUUCGUAAAGCAAUUAGAGGUUAAGAAACACAUGACAGGCAUAGAAAAAUUCCGUCUUGAUUAAGAUAAUUCGAAAGAGCAGAUCCAUAUAAAGGCGACAGCUUAUUAUGACAAGAAGAGCUGAACGCGUUCCAGACAGAUCAAAUUCUCUACGUUCACAUCAAUUCAGCACUUCAAAUUGCUGAUGCCCAGGCUAGCAUUGUGGACUUAGUACGACUUAAAGAAGUGGCGAGGGCGAGUUGAGAGUGUCUCGAGGGAAACAAAAUAUUACAUGCAUAUCAAAUAAGACGUAAGGAGACUGUAUACUGAUUGGAGGUUGAAAAGCGUGAUACCGAGAUAAAGCAUAGAUCGGUGAUUAUAUAUCUGAAUGAUUAACCGCACAAAAGGCGGUGAAGACAACUAUUAAGAUUACGUCUUUAAAUCCACAUACAUAAUUUCAACAACUCUACUUAAGAAGGCAUUAGGUUCAGAUAUGUGAGAUGGAUUGAACUUACUUGCUCAGUUAGUGAUUUAUUCCUAUCCUUCUCAAUCUGCAACUCCCGUAACUUUGACGACUCCAUUUUUGAAAUCCUGGAAAAGAAGAACAUUUCACAACUUUAUCAGAUAUAGAUGCAAUGAAAUUGUUACUUUAUCGCAACUCUUUGCAAUAUGAUCUCGUACUUUUCCUUCAAGGCAAGGUUUUCAUCUUUCAACUGCUGGAUAGUGAGCUCAGGUGACAACUGACGAGCUGGUGCUUUCCCAUUGCAUGUUGCUUUAACUUCCUGCAACUAAAACCCAAACGAAAAAAAAAGAAAGAAAGAUGGAUCACAAAUACUGAGUGUUGCCGUAAAUAUACCGGCUGGAAAUUACUUUUGACACAAGCUAGCAUGUUCUAAGCUAACUCAGAAUCUCAAAGCACAGGUUUUACCAGAUCAGUAGCAUAUAAAAUUACAAUUACAUGCAUAGAUUAAAUACCAAAGCAUGGAUAGAUGAGGCAAAACAGAUUCUCUUUAUAUAAUGAUGCCAAACUGUGGAAUGGAGCUCAAUAUUCUUAUUCUAUUUUAUAGUGUUCAGACAAUUUUCCAGAAAAUGAGAAAUACCAGUUUGAACACCCUCUAGGGUUGUCAUACUGAGAAAGGAGAAAGACAAACCUGCUAAAAGUGUGCAAAUCUCUGAAAGUUGAUUCAAUCUUAUCUUUUAAUGGUCUAAUCUACCAACCUUUAAUUUGCCGGUUACCAAUAAGGAAACUAAAAUAUCUCAAGAUUAAUUAGACAUUUCGAAUGGGUUGAUUACAAAUUUGGACCUUGACCUUAGAUACAAAUCUCAACCUUAGACUUCUUACUGUAACAAUUUAGUCCCGGAAGUUUGCCCUUAAUUUCAAUUUCAGGCUCCAAAUUUCAAUUUGGUUCCUGAAUUUUGAUCUCCGUUUCAAUUUCAUACCUGAAGUUUGACCUUGAUUUCAAUUUUGUCCUCAGAGUAUCAAUCUUACGAAGGAAAGAUCUGACAAUGGUGCUGAUGCGGCACACUUUCAGAUGGUAGAAAACCAAACGGAGUUAAUUGUUAUGCAGAAAAAUGUUCAGGGACUAAAUUGUGAAAUCAAGGAGAAAUAUUUAGGGACUAAACAUGUCAUUAAUCCCUUUCGGAUUUAACAAAGGAACGGUACUUACCUUUGACUUAGAUCUGGUCGCAAUUCCUUCGAUUGCUUUAGCACCACUAGUUGCACUAUUAUUCACUCCAGCUCCUGCGUCAACCGGGCGUACUCGCGAAGGCAACGGUGAAGACCUACUCCCCUUCUGGAAGGAUUUUUGAGCAGGAGACCUACUCCCCUUCUGGAAGGAUUUUUGAGCAGGAGAGGUCUUAUGGCUACGAGAUCUGAAUCUCUCUGAGGGGGCAAACUCUGGGUCACUCUCAUCAGAUGAUUCAUUCAAUUGUGACUGUGAAGAUUCGGCACUAUUAAAUUUCGAGGACAAUGACUUCCCACCCUUCUGAUUUUUCUGAUUCAAGUUGUAUAUAGACUUCUCUGAUUGUUGAACUUUGGCUGAAUCUUUCGACUUGCCAAAAUUAGAUGCACUUGCUGGAGAAACUCCCUUCCCAGAUCGAUGAGAUGAUGGAUGAGGAGCAGCCUCGGGUGAGCUCUCUGCCACAGAAUGGCAAUAGUUUCAAACUUCAAUAAACACCGAGCUUAUGCAGAUGCAAGGUUUUAUACUGAAUUUGUAGGUGAAAUAUAUUAACAAUAAUUCUUAUAUAUGUGCCUGUAAUGAACAGAAUCCUUCCACAAUAGGGUCAAACUGAAGCCGUGAUAUAAGCCAUAAAUCCAUAACAUAAUCAAAUGACGAAAGAGUUUUAGAGAUCCAAAUCUGACCCCAAGUCAUGCCAUUCUAUGAGUUAAUACUUGGCAAAACUAAUGAAAGGGGGGAACAAAAAUCCUUGAAAACAGGAAGGACAUUAUAAAAGAAGGAGAAGCAACUUAGAAGAUUAGGGAUAGUAAGGAAUAGGUCAAUUUUUGGGAGAAAAAGUGGGUUUCAAAGCACCUUUCUAGAUUUCAGGCAUUCAGUUUAACAUACAAUCUACUUUGCUUAACUUUAGAAGAGUUAGAAGUUCUUUCUAUACCUCUAGCAUCUGAUUGAUCAUCUUUCUUAUUACGAAAUUGGACAUAGCCAACUUUAUGAGAGUUCGUUGACCUGGGGGGAAAAAAGAAAGAAGAAAACAUAAGUAACAGAAAGCAGUUUAUUGGUACUAACAUUUCGUUAAGCUAGAUGCCAUAAAUGCAAUAAAAGCAGACCAGUAUGAUUUCUGCAUUUGGACUAAUCGUGCUUCAAGUCGAGAGAGAAUUGUUGUCCGCUCAAAAUCCUGUUUAUCAUGAGCUGGUUCAACGAAAUUGGCCUCCAAUACACCUGUAGUAUAGCAUGUCGAAUAGUUGUAAAUUUGUCAUCAUUGCAAAAAUAUUAAGAAAACAAAAGAACAAAAUAGGAGAUACCGAUAACACCACGGCCACCACUACCAGCAGCAGUCCAAACCCUCCAGAAAGGCUAGAGAAAAAGGAGGAAGAAAAAAAGAGAAGUGAAAACCUUGCAUUGUAGGAAGCACACAAAGUAGAAAAAAGGAAAAAACUUGUGUUUUUGGCAUAGUUGUCAUCAGGCACUUGAGAGUAACUUCAACUAGAAUAAUCAAGGAUGCUCGAUAGCUCCAAAUUGCAUAUAUUUGUAUACUUGCAUGCAUGUAAAUGUCAAUUAGAAUGCUUUCAAACCAGUAGUUGUUUCCUAGAAGCUUUUGGACUAGACAUUGUGAUUCACCCAAUAGGGAAAAGAAAAACGUGAUUCAUGGGUGGAGUUCCUGCACAUUCAUCUAUAUGCCUGAGUUCUAUCCAUCUUUUCCGAUAAGCACUUAAACCUUAGUGCUUUCCUUGCAAGUAUAGCAAUCUUCAACUACAGAGGUAGGGCUUCACCUUACUUACAAAAGACCCAAAAUUUUCAGCAUGAGAUGCGAUGUUGCUAUCUUUCAUCUCUAACGAAAGUCAUAUUAUUUAAACCAUGCCGAUAAUGAUGUUUGUUUUAUAAUUUUUUGCGGUCUAACAAUACUUCUUUAAAGUUUUAAAUCACAUUCACUUCAUCUUUGAGUUAGGAAAAAUUGUUCUCCAAUACAAUGGAUUUUGCAAAGAAGUCAAUCUUAGCACGUGUUUGUGGUCAGAAAUAAAAUUAAUGGACUCAAAGCUGUUCUUCGUAACUGGAUCACCUUUGUGGCUUUUGGCUUCAGACAAGUUGUUCUCUACUUUCCUUCCUAUACUAGUGAAAUACCCGCGCGAUGCUGCGAAUAUAAAAAUAUUUUUAUAAUAAAUUUUACUUUUUUUAAUAUUUUUAUAUAGUUUUAUAAGUAUAAUUAUUAAUUAAAUAAAAGUUAUAUAAAAAUAAUUUAAUAGUUAAACCUAUUUAAAUAAAAUUCAUUAAAAUUAGUAUAUGCGCAAAGUAAAUUUAUCGAACAAUUUAUUUUAUAAAGAUUUAUAUGAAAAGGAUUUGAGAUAAAUCUAUCAAAUAAAAUUGUAGAAGAAAUUGUUUAAUAAAAAUUAAUUAUAUAUAUACACAUAUAUACAUUAUAUUUCUAAAAUUUUACUCCUGAAAUUUAAACUCUGUAUUUUUUUAAUACAGCGAUAUUUUACGUGAUUUAAAUUGCAUAUAUUAGGUUAGAUUUUAUUACGCGGUUUAUUACACGUAUUAUUAAUAAAAUUAAUUAAAUAUAAUAUAUUAAUUAAAUAUAUUAUAGAGAUUAGAGAUUUUAAAUUUUAAAUUUUGAAGUUUAAAAUUUGGAAAUAAAUAUUAUAAGUUAAAAUUAAAAUUGAGAAUUUAAAAUAUAAAAUAUAAAAUUUGAAAUUUAAAACUUUUAAAUUUGAAAGUAUCAAAAUUUUAAAUUUUGAUAUCAAAAUUUAAAAUUUUAUAUUAUAUAUAUUCAUAUAUGUAUAUAAUAUAUGUAGAGGGAGAGUUAAUUAAUUAAUUUUAUAGAGUUUAGAGAUUUAAAAUUUUAAAUUUUGAAGUUUAAAAUUUGAAAAAAAUAUUAUAAGUUAAAAUUAAAAUGAGAAUUUAAAAUAUAAAAUUUAAAAUUUAAAUUUAAAAAUUUAAAAUUUGAAAGUAUCAAAAUUUUAAAUUUUAUAUUAUAUAUAUAUAUAAAUAUAAAUAUAUAUAUAUAUAUAUAUAUAUAUAUAUAUAUUAUAUAUCAUUUAUAUAUAUAUGUAGAGGGAGAGAGAGAGUAAAGGAGGGUUUGGGGGGACACGUGUCACCCCUUGGUCCCCCCAAACCCUCCUUUAAUGUAGCAGAAAGAAAGAAUAGAUUUUUCUAAAAUAUAUUCAAGUUCCAGCCUGCUCCAAUAUUUGCUUAAAAAGGUUCAACUGAGCCGCUGGUAUGAAGGAUUUCUUUUCUUAUUUCUCCCUCUUAGGAAACUUAAAUAAUAUAUCAUUGAGAGCACAAUAAUUAGUAUGUUUGCACUAAAAAUUUGAAAAGUGGUCUGUGAAUAUAGGAAGACAUGAGAGCAAAAUAAACAGGACAAAAAUAAGGAGAUAUACCUUUAUUAGUAGAAGAAAUAAGGAGAUAUACCUUUAUUAGUCGGUUCUUGUGAUAAACAUUAAAUCCCUGAACAUCAAUGUGAUGUUUUGCAUCCUUUACAAAACCAAUUGUCACAACAGCAACCAUCUAUGAAGUGGAAAAGAUGGGUGGAAAAAAAAUCAGAUAUAUAUAAUUUGAAGUACAAAGGUGAAGAAAGGGAAGCAGAAGCGGGUAUAGAGCUUGGCAUUACAUUAGGGUCCUUUGAAUGCCCAUCAGCAUACUGCGGCCGAUAUGUAACCUCUUGCUUAUGCAUCAUAUCAUUCACAAUAUUGUGGUGUUCAACCUCCUUUCCACGCAGAAUCAUUCUAAAGAAAUGCGGAAGUCUGAGGUAGAGAAUAGAGGCAUAACUCUGCAUGUAGGGAAAAUAGAAUAUAGCCAUAAAAUAAAACAUAUCAAUCACAUCGAAUGCCAGUGGAUGUUAGCAACGCAAUUUCAAUGUAAGACUAAUUACAGUUAAUUAGGGUAAUGUAUGUUACUCAAUUUUGAUGAUGGUAACUCAUCAAAGAAGGGAAAAACAGUUAAUUGUAGCAAUAGAACUGCCUUAAAAACUAUCCAUCAAAGCAUAUCAUUUUUUCGAUGAUACUCUGAUUCAUAUCAAAAGAUGAAUUGGUUGCAAACAUAAGGUGAUUAAGACCCGAUGAUUGAUGAUUUGUUGUAUAACAUUAUUGAACUUGAGAGGAUAAUUUAUUGUAACGAUAUUAUACAACGUUACACACAAGUAAUCUCCUUAUUUCCACUAGCUUGCGUUUUGACUUGUCUAUAGUUUCACAACUGAAAAUUAAGGCAUCAGCAAAAGAAAAGGGCAGAUACUCUUUUUGCAUGCUUUGAAGAAAUGCAAACCUGUUUUGCUUUUGAUUGCACUGCAGUUACUCUCUUUUGCAGGUUAAUUGUCAACUACUAACAUCCAAAGCAACUUGAUAGAAUAGAAGCAACUUUACGAAAUGACCAUCACUAUCACACAGUUAUCUGGUUCCACGAAAGUAGGAUCACUACAAGGGAAUAUUAGUAGAUGGUCCCAACUUCAACAUUUGUAUGUUAACUUUUAAUAAACAAAUUAGUUGCCAUGUCUUAGCAUUAAGUUAAAGAGACAGAUAAAACUUAAAUGCCAUUAAAUUAGACAAUCAGCUAAUAUAAAAUCAGAAUUUUUUUUUAAAAAAAAUCAAAAGAUAAAAGUUUCAACAUGUUUAACUCUACUGGUGACAACAACUACAUUACUACGUCGCUUAUUUACUAUAAUGGGAAGCAAACUGCUCUAAAAAAACAUCAUGUGGCUAGAAAACAAUAGCACUUGCACUUUUCAGGCAGCGUAUAUGACUAGAGCAAGGUGAGUAAGCAAGCCAUAAGAGUAAAAGAAGAUAGUGAAACUACUACAGAAGAAGAGAAACAAUGCUACUUAUAUGAUAUUCUACACUGAAGUCCAGAAGAGUCACCCUUAGAGAAUGGCGGUAUGUCAGGAAAUGCUUCGAGUUUGGAAACUGCUUAGCCAUUUGAAUAUUUUUCUCCUCCCGGUUAGCACCUCUAACUUGAAUGUCCUGCCAUAUCAAAGAACAGCAAAGAUCUCAAGAGACGUAGAGAUUGGCUAUGGAUACUGAUGGUAAUUAUUUAAUUCAGAAAAAGACAAACACUUAAUUGCCUGAAUACAAUGAUUUCCGCGACACGAACUAUUGUAGGGACAGUAGCUCAUCUUACUAACUGGCACUUACAUGUUUGUCAGUAUAAAAAUCGAGUUCCAAUUCUCCUUGAUCAUCCUCCCAUAGGUUGUAUAUCACUAUUCGAGUUCCCUGAUCCUUCAGUGAGCUAAACUGCAACAAGUCAUAUCAUUAGAAAACAGUUAUUCUAAAACUAGCCCUGUACUAUUUUUUAAGGACUUGUACUUCGAGUUUGAGUGCACUAAACAAAUAAAAAUCAUGGUGACAAAGCUGACGUCUCACAAUUUUAGGUUGUCCCAACCCAAAAAGUUGCAACAUAAUGACUUUUUUUAGACAUAAUGAAGAAGAACAUGAGCAUACCAUUCUGCAACUUAAGGGAAUUAUCUCAUUGUCGAACCUUUGGUUUUCUUUUCCUUUCUUUUAUUUACAUACACCAUGACCAAAGAGGAAUUUAAUACCCACAGAAAAGCUCAUUAAUUCCAAGUGAUUACACACCGCAGGUCAUUUUGGGUGGUGAAAGGUUAAAAAACAAAACCUUGGCAACUUACUAACAUAAUAAAUAAUUUAAUAAUGCCAUUUAAGUUGUUAUCAAUAAUUCUAAGGCCAUUUAUAGUUGAACGAAAAGGAUAUUCUGAUGCUUAUUUCUUAGUUGGAUCAUUUAGUCAUUAAAUAGCUGAUCAGCAUUGACCAGAAAACCAAAAUAAAUCUAUAAUCAAGCUUUAAAUAAGAAUUAAAACAUGUAAAACCUAGCAAAGCAUAACUACAAAAUAUAUUUAUUUGAAAUCAGUGUCACAGGUCCAAUGGAAAUGCAUUACCUGCUGAAGAAGAUCAGCCUCACUUGAAUAAGGAGACCAUUUUAUAAUUGUCUCUAAGUUUGUAUUCCAAUCAGCUGGAGUUGUUCGUGUCAUUUGAUUCCAGCCUUUUUCCUUUUCAUAAUCAAGCUGCAAAGUCAGCAUAGCAAUUAAUAUCACGCCGGAAAAGAAAAAGGACUACAGUCCAACUAGAAGUUGAUAAACGAAGGCAAUUGUAACGUAAAAGGAACACGAAGCAAAAGGAAAAAAGACAGAAAAAGAAAAGGAGACCAUUUACAUGUUCCUGAAAGAAAAGAGCAUAAACACAAACCUGAAGAACUAUAAAGAAAUAUAGAUUGUUUUCCAACAGUCGCUUUAAAUAUAUAGAAUGUAUCCUUCUACAUAAAGCUUUAACAGAGAUAACAUGACGUAGAUAACCCAAUAUUCAAUGUCUGAAUUAGAUUCAAAUAUACUUAGUCUUGCUUUUCUGUUCCACAUUUACACAGGCACAGAAUGAAAAGGUAUUAGACUAAGAAUUCUUCCUCUGCCACACUUACUCCUUAAAUCAACUGCACUAUCCCAUCCCAACAAGUUGCAAAUGCUCAAAGCCACCAGCAGUGGAUUCAAAAUAAUAUAGUGUCAGAAGACGGAUCCAUCUGGGUAAUUAAAAUAUCAGCCUUGGCUACGCUGAUUAAUCAUAACUCGUCAUGUUAAUAACUUAGUAUCCCACUGUUGUCUAAGGACUCUUAAGGUUAUAUCACCCAUCAUUGUGGACUCACUUCUAAGAUUAAAGAGAAAUAUCUACAUCACAAAGAAGAUUAUCCACCAAACAUAGGGGUAAAGGAUUUCUGCACGUAGGCUACAAUAGAAAAGUUUGUCAAAGGAUGUAAAUAUAGCAUACCAUUGGUACUACAAUAUCUUCUUUCCCCGUGCUUCGUAGGAAGGUGUACGAUAGCAUUCCAAUACUCUGUGUGGGCCUACAGACGAACACCCAUCACCCGAAUCCGCCAAGAAAGGAAAAAAGAAAACAAGAGAGAUGGAGAAUCAAUCUCUGCAUGAAUGAAAAGAAAACAAUUUGAUGCAAACCAACAUUGUAACUUAACAUUCCAUGAUCCAACAGCCUUUCUUAUAUUUGGUUAACAUUCCAUAAUCAACAGCUUUUCUAAGGUUCCUUUUAGCUAAUCACAUUGUUGAGGAAGGCUUUACAUAUGACAGCGACAUGAUAGAGAUGAUUAAUGUAUACAUGAAUUUACCCACAUUGGUGUAAGAGCAAAUUGACAACCUUUUUCCAUCUUUUCCACGACUACGGGAGAAAACAAUAACAUCAGCUCCAAGUCUCAUGGUGCUAGUCUUGAAGCCAUUUCCAUCUGAAACAUGGAGAAAUCUUGCAUGUUGAUCAAACGUUACCACUAAAUAUCCAUAAAAGGAUGCAUUUUAAAUUUAAAAGUCUAUUUUUCCAGUCGGUAUGUUUGAUACUCACAUUGUCCAAUAGUGCUUGCCAUUUUGCACUUUGCUGAAUAACCCAAGGACAUGCAUUGACGCAUUUUAUCUGGGUCCAUACCACCACCAUUAUCUGCAGAGAGCCACAAAAAUGGAAAACUUAUUUACAUAAAACCUAAACAUAUACUGUACUCUAUUUCACCUGAUUCUAUGUAAAAGAGAAGAUGGAAUUGCUAGAACAUCAUCAGAGCAUAAAUGAUUGCUGAAGAUCAAAUACUAGCCGAAAGAACAAAUAAGUUAUAUAACAUGAUCCAAAAUGUUCUAAUAGUGGCAAACAAUCUGGCUAUACUUGCAGGCGCAAAGCUAGUCAAACUACUCAACAAGGCUUUGUUUUUCUAUCAAUUAGAAAGAACAAAAAAAAGGUUCCCUACCUUCAACCAGCAACAUUCUUGAGCCGCCUUUAUUAUUAUUUAACAUAUCAAUGUUCACAUAUGUAGCUCCAUUGCAAACCUGUAAAUGAAGUUAAUAUAAGUAUAACACCCAAAUGAAGCAAGUGGGAAAAUUUAUGUUGCACAGUUCGAACUAGAAGAGUACCUCAUCAAGAGCAUUAUCCAAAAGCUCAGCCAAAGCUGUUACAGCAAAGAGUAGAAAUUCAUAGAAAUUCGUCAGAUGAAUAGAUCAAAGACAGCUAUGCAAAGACUACCACCUCACUAUUAGCUUUGUAGGUUCCCAUUAUAAAUUAAAAGCCUGUUGGGCCUAAUUAGAGAUUUUAUAAGAGUGCUGUUUUAGCAAAGUUGUUAGAAAAGCACUAAUAGCUUUAAAAUUAAAAUCCUCAAAAGGCAAAACAGCUUCUCACUGCAACAGAUGAAGCAGCUUCACAUAGAAACUUCCACUUUUGGCUUCACAAGCUUAUUUUAGCUUUCAUAAAUAGCAAAAGCACAGAUACUGUUUGAGAAAUGGCCGACAGCCGCUUUUGGUUAGGGAGAAGUCCAAGCCAGACCAGAUCAAGCCACAAUAGAAGAGUCAUUGAAUGACAACAAAAAGUAGCCUCCUCACUCCUCAGAGCCUCAAGAGUUAAAUUAGACAAAAAGUUUACCUCCAAGGGCCCACUUGUGACUGGUAGCAUUUGAAUGUAGAAACUUAGGGUGCACUCUGACAUGAUCCAUCCCUGCUCCUGUAAAUUUUUUUUUUUUCCAAUGUUACACCCCUAAUCCUUGAGUGGGAAAAAAAAAUGUGCCAAAACAGAAACGCCGACUAAAAGGAUAUAGUAAAAGAAAAAAUUUAAAUAAGUAAGCUCACUCCAACUGUCAAAAAUGUAACAAAAGGAAAGGGAUGUUAACAAGCUAUUGAUAGAGCAGAUGUAUUGAAUACCAAUUGAAUACUCUGCAGGUCCAAUGUACCAAUUCUGUAAAUAACAUUUCUAACUCCGUCAAUACAACCACCACAAUGAAAUAGUCAUACAUAAAAUACAAUAGCCAGUUUGGAGCUGGAUAUAUGAAUGGUAACUCUAUAUAUAUAUAUAUAUAUAUAUAUAUAUAUAUGGAGGCCCUUUACUAUAGGCCAUUUGGAAAGUUAUUUUAGUCAAUUAAAUUGGGGAUUUUAUCAAAUUCGCAGUAUAUUCAUCAAAUUUAAUGAUUUUAAUCAUUUAUUGAUAGAUAAAACUACACAAAUUAACGGCUAAUAGCAAACAGAGCUAUUUAAUUUAACCAAAUUUUUGACAUAACUAAGUACAGCAACUCAAUUUUAAAAAAAAAAAAAGAAAUUUGACGUUAAGGGGGCCUCAAUCAAAAUAAAAAUAGUUGAGUCGGCUCUUUCAUAAUGGUCUAUAGUUGAGGGGGUCUUCAUACAUUUUUAUUCAUACGAGAUUCACCAACAUUAACUUAACUUGUCACCUCAUACAUUUUCAUUUAUAUUUGUUGCCAAUAAAUCAGGUUUUUCCAAGUAUAUGCUAACAAAACUUCUACUUCUCACUGUGUAUGAGCAAAUAAAUGUACUCAAAUAGCAUAAAAAUUAUUAAUAAGCACCAAUAACCCACUCAAAAUGACACACAUGCACCAUUAAUAGGAAAUACACGACUAAAAUUGCAUUUCCUAUUUAGAACAAAGGGUUUCUACUUGCGGAUGAUUCUAAGUCACUACGAAUUCAUGAAAUAAUCAAUUGUACUAAAUAUUUCGAAAAAAGAUCAGAAGAACACCUGACAUGGGCGUGGAAUCGACACCGCCGAGGCUCCCAUCGUAGUCCCCGGCCUUCCAAAACUGCUUGGAACCCUGAAUCGCCGCCGCCGCCGCCGCCGGAGACGGCGCCGGAAGCGGGAGCGGCGGCGGGGCCUCCGGCGGGAGCGGAUCGAGGAAGCCGACCGGGAGGGCCUUCGCCCUCGGCCUCUUCGGCCGCGCCCCCUCAGCCUCCGCCUCGGCUCCGGCCCCCGAAACCCUAGGCCGCUUCGCCCCUACUCCGCCGCCGCCCCCCUCCUCCUCCGGGUCGGAGUCGCUGUCGCUGCUGCUGAGCUCGAUCACCGCGUCGGCGGGGGCGAGUGACGGCGCCGCCUCCGCCUCCGCCGCCGCCGCCGCUCCGGCGAUCGGCCGCGGAGGCGCGGGGGAUUCGACGAUCUCCUCCUUAACGAGCGAACCCAUGGGAAAGGGGGAGUGCGAAUUGGAGAAAUUAGAGGGGCUCUUUUGCAAAAAGGAACGAAGAGGGGGAGGGGCGAGGAAAAGGAAAAGGUCUCUUUCUCGGGCUCGGAGAGAGAGGCCCUUUAAAAAUUAAAAUAAAUAAAUAAAUAAAUAAGGACAAAUUUACGCCAGGACCCUUGACAAAAAUUUAUUACAUUUAACUCCUAGAACAGUGAAAACUCACGGUGUUUUUGUGGACCACGUUCACCACGUCAUCAUAGACCUCAACGUAUGCAUAUUCCUUUUUCUGUGAUCUCUACCGUACGUAAGGGAAAUAUUUUCAUAGGUGAGAGAAAGUGAAUUUGAUGAACGGUGGAGAUUCAACGGGGAAGAGAUGGAGGGGUAAAAACUCUUGUGGUCUACGGGUGGCGCAGUACACAUGGUCCAGGUAGUAUUUUCCACCAGUGUACGCAAACGUGCUCUCCCCAACACAUACAAUGCAAUAUUGGGUGGUUAAAUGGUAUGUAGAUCCCUCAACUAUAAGUUAAUCUGGAACUAAGCCUUUAACUUUAUUUUUUACCAAUUAUAGUUUUUUAACUUUUUAAACUAAAAUAAAAAUUUGUUAGUAUCAGUUUAAUUUGACAUAAUCACGGUAAAAUAUAAAUAAAUCAAUAAUUUUAAUGAUAAAAUAAUUUAAAAUUUAAAAUAAUAAAAGUUUCAAAAAUAGCUGUUUUUGAAAUAGCCCCCUCAAUCCAUUUUUUUAAAAUUGAGUUAUUCAGAAAUUUUAUUUGAAAUUGUUUUUAAAACUUGAAACUUUUAUCAAUCUACUAUUAUUAAUUACUUUAAUUUAAUUUGAUAUUAAACUAAUUAAAUUUCCGAGCGUCAUUUUCAAGUCCAAUACAGUUUAGGGCGUCUCAGUGCAUUUUCACUCAGCAUCAAAUUUUCAGGAAAAAAAAAAAUAGUUGAAAAAUAGUUGAGGGCACUUUUCAAAUUUCCCUAUACAUUAGGGGGGAUACUGUACAAAUUUGCCUUUGGCGGGUUCUUGAAAAGAGUCGGCGCAGACUCGUGCUAGGAUUCGGACACGUGUAAAAUGAUCGGCGGAGAUGAUCCGUCGAUUUGAUUGCAUCAGGAUUUGAUUUGACGUGAGAGACAACCCGCUGAGCACGUGAACCGCACGUGAACUAGCGCUAUUUCAAAAUCUCUGGGCACAUGCUACGCACGUGCCAUAAGUGUUUUAUGAUUUUUUCUUAAAAAUUUUGGUUUUGCUCUCCAAGUUUUUAAUUUAUUUUAUUUGAGUCAGUAAAUAAUAUUUUAACUUCAAAAUUUAAAUGAGUCAUCUAUUUUUUUAGGUUUAGUUAGUAUACUUUAUACCAUUCUCGCUAUUAUAAAUUUAGGUCAAUUUGCAUAAAAAAUGAACAAGUUUAGAGCUUUUGCAAAAUUGAGUCGCUUUUUUUUAUUUACAGAUUCGGUCCGAAAUUUCAACAAACUGACCAAAAUAUUUUUAUAUAUUUUUCUCUCUUUUUUUUUCUCUCGUUUUUUCUUUUUUUUUCUCCGAAGAAGGCGACAGAGGCGGAAACAGAAAUGGUCCGCCCCGCCUCACCUCUGCCCCUCACGGUCUCGCCCUCACCCUCGCCCUCGGCCUCGCCUUUACCCGCGCACCCCAGCCCUCCAACCUCACUGAAGCCGUGCUGCGACCAUUUUUUUUUUUCUCCAACCCUCCUCCACCACCGUCGCGGCUCUCCGCAACGAUAGCGAGGACGGUACCGCGUCCUCUUCCUCUGCCUUCGCCCUCCACUUCCACUACAGCAGAUUUUCUAUCCGCCAAACAAAUCCGUCGUCCCCACCGCCGCCGACAAAGAGGAAGUGCUUUUCGGGACCGAGAAGCACGCUGGCGAGGGAGGCGCAAAAAAAUGAUUACACUCCAGCGAGGACGGUGGCUGCGAUAGAGAUAAAGGGAGAAAAAGAAUGAAGAAAAAGAUGAAAUCGUACAAUUAAAAUAAUGUUAUACUAUUUUAAAAAAAAAAUUGUAUUGUUUUAAAUGAAAGUUGUACUCUUUGAGACUGAAAUUACACUCUUUGGAAUGAGAAUUACACUCUUUAGGUGAAAAUUGCACUCUUUGGGUGAAAUUUAGACCAUUUCUUUUUUUCUUCUUCCUCCUCCUCCUUCCCCUCCUUUCUCGGGGUUUGAUUUGACGUCACCAGCUGAGCGCAUGAACCGCACGUGACUAGCGCUAUUUCAAAAUCUCUGGCAUUGUUUUAUGGUUUAUUUUUAAAAGGGAAAACUUCAAAUACCACCUAUGUGGUUUCGUACUGUCUCACUUUGGUACUCUGUGGUUUAAAGUAUAUCACUUUCGUACCAUGUGAUUUUAUUUUUCUCUUUUUGUUAUCCCCACCAUUAAUUUUUUUUGUAACAAAGUUAAAACUAAAGGGUAUUAAAGUGAAUAUUCGAUAAACUAUAGGUAGGGUAUCUGAAGUUGUUUGUAUAUAAUUUAACAAAAAUUUAACGGAGAGACUGAUGAAAAGAGAAAAAGCCACAGAGUACUAAAUUGAUACACUUUAAACCACGGGGUACUAAAGUGAGAACGUGCGAAACCACAGAGGUGGUAUUUGAAAUUUUUCCUUCUUAAAAAUUUUGGUUUUACUAUCCAAAUUUUUAAUUUAUUUUACUUGAGUCAGUAAAUAAUAUUUUAACUUCAAAAUUUAAACGAGUCAUCUAUCUUUAUAGAUUUUGUCAGUAUACUUUGUACCAUUCUCGCUACUACAAAUUUAUUACAGUGCAAAAUUAGCUUAAAUGUUAACUUAAAUUAAAAAAAAUUGAAAUCACUUGUAUAACUCUGCGAUGUAAUCUAUGUGGUGUAUUAUCUUUUUAUAUAGAUAGGUAAAACAUUUUUCGAUCAUAUUUUCUCAUUGCAUAUAAUAUAUUCUUUUCAAUGUUAGAUCUCGAAUGAAAGAAAAUUUAAAUAUUACUGAAAGUCGAUAUUAUAAAUAUGACAUUUAAUACGUUGAGCGCAAAUAUUCUCUUCGGUUAGAUUUUUAUUUCUUUUUGGGAAAGAUAUUAUUUUGGCAUAGUCCACACUUAUACUUGCGUGCAUAAUGCGUCUUACAUGCAGUAAAAAAGUAUAAUAAAAAUAUAUUCACUUUAUUUUCAUAAACAAUAAAAUAUUUUAUAUGUAUUUACAACCGCAUUGCAGUUGUAGCUGCACUACAAUUAUAACUGCGUGCGUAUUCAAAUCUGGCGUUUGCUUUGAUACAUUUAAAUUCAAUUGUUGCAGUUGUAACUGCACAAGGAAGCUGAAUAGUUGAAACUAUGCCCAAAUUGGCUGUAGUUUUAACUGCAGUACUGCAGUAUUUCGAGAGUAAUUUUAAACAACGAUAAACUUACCUUUUUAAUAACCUUUUUAUAAUUUCUUUUUCCUUUCGUCCAUACAGAGUAAUCUCAUCAAUUCAUAUAUAAAAUGGUAAAAAUUCGUAAAUGCACUUUUCAUUUGUAUGUAACCAAACAAAAUAUUUAUAAACUAUAACGCUUUCUAUUACAUCUAAGCAAACAAAAUGUAUGGAAUUAUAAUUGUUGCAUUUUCAACUACACUGUAUUUAUAGUUACGUUGAACCAAAUUGCCCCUAAUUCGGUUAAAAUAUGAUUCAAAAACCAUAUUUAGGUUGGCCCAAUCUCGUCCAUACAAAGUAAUCUCACCAAUUCAUAUAUAAAAUGGUAUAAAUUGGUAAAUGCACUUUUCAGUCGUAUGUAACCAAACAAAAUAUUUAUAAAUUGUAACACUUUCUACUACAUCUAAGCAAACAAAAUGUAUGGAAUUAUAAUUGUUGCAUUUUCAACUACACUGUAUUUACAGUUACGUUGAACCAAAUUGCCCCUAAUUCGGUUAAAACACGAUUCAAAAACCGUAUUUAGGUUGGCCCAAUUUCGUCCAUACAGAGUAAUCUCACCAAUUCAUAUAUAAAAUGGUAUAAAUUGAUAAAUGCACUUUUCAGUCGUAUGUAACCAAACAAAAUAUUUAUAAACUGUAACGCUUUCUACUACAUCUAAGCAAACAAAAUGUAUGGAAUUAUAAUUGCUAUAUUUUUAACUACACUACAUUUACAGCUAUGUCGAACUAAAUGGCCCCUAAUUCGGUUAAAAUGGGAUUCAAAAACCUUAUUUAGGUUGGCCCAAUUUUGUACCCGGCCCGGCCCACGAAAUCACUUGCUCUAUUAAGGAAAAGGCAAAGUAUUAAUUAGGUUUAUUUUCACUCUCUCUCCUAAAAUCAUAAAUUUUAAUUAUGUUAAACUCUUUUUUUUUUUUUGCUAAUUUAAAUUGUUUGUGUUGGAACAGUGAACAUAUUUUUGUUAUCAUUUUGUACAUUUUAAAUCGAAACACUCCAAUACAUAAACUAUUUUUAAACUAUAUAUAAACAGAGUUGGAUUAUUAUACUUUUAUGAGUGUAGAUUCCUUCGUACUCAUCGAUUAUUUUUUAUGACGGAGCUUCCGAAUUGACGGUUCCAUACUAUUAAAUAUGAUGUAGAGUAUUUGAAACUUUUAGAAAUAAAUUUCGUAAUUUUUCAAAAUUAUAUUAAAGUCCAUCAAGCAGGCAUAAAAUGAAUGGUCAAAAUUAAGCGACCUUCUAAAAACAGAUGAUUGAAUUCUUCAAUUUGACAUUGGAGUUAUUGAUCUUUAUUUAGAUAGUAAAUAAAAUUUUCUAUUAAAAAAUUUAACCAAUUCCGAUUCUUUUACACCGUUGGAUUAGCAAGUAUCUCAUACCGGCCGUUAAAAUUUAUCAAUUUUGAGAUCUUUUGAUCUAAGGUAAAUGAUGUUGAAAAAUUAUGAAAUUUGAUUUCUAAAAGUUUCAGAUGCUCUAAACCAUGUUUAACGGUAUAUAUGGAUCAUUGAUUCGAAAGUUUUAUCAUUGAAAAACGACUUAUGAGUAUGAAGACGAUCGUAUUCAUAAGAAUAUAGUAGCCGGACGCAUAUAAAUAAGUUGUUAGCUUUAAUACCACGAAAUUAACUUCUAAACU